Non-coding RNA from Pelobates cultripes (western spadefoot toad), 352 nucleotides. The record is from the annotation of a GenBank genome assembly. NCBI's taxonomy places the organism in Eukaryota, Metazoa, Chordata, Amphibia, Anura, Pelobatidae.
CCAGGUACAGUAACAAUGCAGUGACCCCUGACCCUGGUGUGACCCCCUGACCCUGGCGUGACCUGUGGGGUUAACCCUUUGAGCCCAGGUGGGCAGUGGGCGUUGCUCCCAGCACUGCUGACGUCACUGUCCUGAUAGCACCCCCCACCCCCCUCUCGGGCAGUCUGGCCGGGGGCCCCGGUUCUCCCCUUCGCCCUGGCGGUGGUGGGUCCCGCGGAGAGCCCUGCGCUGGGGGUGAUCGGGCGGAGGGGGGGCAGGCUCGGGGCUGACACCUCAGAGCGCUCGCGCCGGGCUGGCGGCGGGAAACCAGGAGGAAGGAAGCGCGCCUUUGAAACUUGGCGCGUAUUCGACG